AGCACAGUCACAAUCUUCCACAGUUUCCAAAAAAAUAUUCUCUCUUACGAGUAGGUCUUGUGUACUAAUAGGAGCACGGAGAUCUCCUUACUCCUAAGCCGUUUUCGAUAAUAGGACUUUCGAAUCAAUAAUUGGCUCCGUUAGACUUGAUCUAACAUAUUUGAAGUAUCUAAAAAAUAAAUUUUGUAAUUUUUUGAUAUUAUUUAUCUUACGAACGAAAGGUUUAAAUAUCAACAAAUUUUUUUUUUGAGAGAAAGAUGGCAUGCUACCGCUUCAUUUAAUAAGAAGAUGAAUUUAGCAACAGAGUGAAGUAUUGUGGCUUCGCAGAAAAAAAAAAACAACUAAACACAAUAAAAAUCUCACAUAUUCCUAAGUGUGCGUAAGUCCACCAGCAACUGUCUGAGCAAUAACUUCUUACUGUAAAAAAUUCUUUUACUCCGUUGCAACCGUAAAGCCCACCAAGUAGAGGAGAUGAUCGUUGGCUUUUUUCUCCCUACUAUGCCCCACUUACAGCUUGCUAACCUUC
This 526-nucleotide long non-coding RNA is filed under the name Ananas comosus (pineapple). RNAcentral describes it as "long non-coding RNA (ACOM_LNC044742)". The record is from RNAcentral. Lineage: Eukaryota; Viridiplantae; Streptophyta; Magnoliopsida; Poales; Bromeliaceae.